This is a long non-coding RNA of Rhagoletis pomonella (apple maggot), 259 nucleotides long. RefSeq lists it as uncharacterized. The record is from RefSeq and is a predicted model, not a curated record. NCBI's taxonomy places the organism in Eukaryota, Metazoa, Arthropoda, Insecta, Diptera, Tephritidae. The transcript is spliced from 3 exons.
UGUAGAAAUUGGUGGAAAUGGAGAAAUCAUAACGCAAUCUGCUCAGUACGAAAUAUUAAGUGGAAAUUUAGAACAGAUUGUCGAAACUCAAUCAGGAGGAGAUCAGCGAUUAAAAGACUUAUUAAAAGAGAUGAAUAUAGAAGCCGCUUACGACAAGUUUUAUGCUUCUGGAAUCACAUUUGACCGGCUGAAGUACAUAAACUGUGACGACUUGGCGUUGGUAUUUCUAGGGAACGAAAAUAUCGGUUAUAGAGCAGAA